RNA transcript from Papaver somniferum (opium poppy), 2225 nucleotides. RefSeq lists it as uncharacterized. Lineage: Eukaryota; Viridiplantae; Streptophyta; Magnoliopsida; Ranunculales; Papaveraceae. The record is from RefSeq and is a predicted model, not a curated record. The transcript has 8 exons.
AGUACCGGGUAUGUACAGAUUGGGUAUCUCGUGCUCGUCAUUUGGAGGAAACUAUAUCUAUUUUAUUCUUCCUCAUACUCUCUUUCUUCCUCCUCCUCUCUUUAUGUUGUGCUGAAUCUCUUUCCCAAAUUUUUGUCCUAAAAGAAUCAAAACCAUCUCUAUAGUAUGUACAUAUACACAGUGAUGAGCUCGAAUUUUGGUUAUAUUUUUCAAUCUCCUUAUUUGCAUCAUCUUUCUCAUAUUUUUAUUUUCUCGUCAAAUUUCCCCUAAAUUUCAAACCCUAACAUUUUCAUCAUACACAAAUUAGUAAUUUUUCUUUUUCUUAGAUUCAGUCACAAAAACUCCAGCAAAUUAGGUUUUAGACAAUCCUAAUUUCCAUUUAUGUUCUUAAUCUCCUCUUGCUUUGUCCUGAUCUGAUGGGCAUUUGCUGUCAUUGCUAUGUCUCUCAAAAUAAAUUUAUCAUGUGUGCUGGUGAAAUUUACUGCUGAAUUUACGGCAUUCCUGCGAAAGGUUUUGAUAAAUGAAGGUGCUGUAACGUUCAUGGUCUUGGAAACUUACUAAUUGGGUGGGCAGCACUUUAUUUAACUGAAUUUAGGAGCCCUGAAAUAGCCGAUUAUGAUGACAGUAGUUGUGUGAACUGGUUAAAUGAGUUCCCCAUGUACCACUACAAAUUGCUUCAGAAAGAGUUAGAUAUUUUGAGAGAAAUGCACCCACAUACCAACAUCAUUUACGUUGAUUACUACAGUGUUGUCCUGAAGAUUUACCAAUCUCGCAAACCAUUUGAAAAUUAAAUGUUCUUAUUAUGACUUAGAACUGUACCAUCGAUGGUUCCCGUUUUGACUUUUCUGGCUUCUGCUUCAACUAUCUGCAGCGACGUUUUUGUUGGGCCAAUAGUCUCCUUACCUGUCAAUUUGACUAAGUGUCAUUUGCUGUAAAUUUGGCAUACAUCAAAUCUGUUAAAGUGAAAGACAAAUAUUUCAGUGUGAACAAAUAUUACCUCGAGCAAGAAUUCGGCGAAAGCUAUGUUUUCUGGAUUGCACUGAUCAAGACGCAUAUUCUUUGUAAGUGUCAGAACUAUUAUAUCAUUCCAGAGUAUGGAGCUUCUAACACAUGCUCCUACGACAUCUGCGCGUCCUCCAUUUGGUAUAACUGGAAUUGAACAUACGCUGGUUUCGUUGAUCUCUACUGGGAUCUUGAAUGUUGAAUGUGCUGUUCUACCCCCAACCAAAAGUAAUUAUCUUAUUUAAAAGUAAAUUGCACGGUUAAAAGCAUUGGAGAAGUACCUGAUGAUGCAACGGGGUAAGAACUAUGUCGCCAUUGAAUCGGCAGCUUGCAUCUACAGUAUUAUAUACGAAAGUUUUCCACGUCCCUGCGAUUCCAUUCAGAAAAAAAGUACGGCCAUCCCUUUGUUGUACAGACUCUGUUAUUUUAUUGUAUGCUGAUAACUGUUCUGGAUUCAAGCUUGCAAUAUUUCUUCGAAGUUCUGGUUGUUGGAUUGCAAACUGAAGUUGCCUAUGCUCACAUAACAACCUGUUGCCAAUUAUCUUACCCCAAUUUUCUUUUGGCCGUGGCAUGUUAGAAAAAUGUUUUAGUUUUUUUCCGCCUUCACGCAACAAUCUAUCCAAGAGGUACAAUCCAUAAUUUAAAGUCUGUUCAUCCGUUGGAUUUUGAAUGUCAAACAUUGUUCUCAAUCCAUGAGGGAGAUCGUCGCAUAUUUUCUUCCCAAACUUUUCCCACAAUAUUUCUGGUUCUGUUGGGUUGCAGUCAGAUAUGACGAUUUUGAAUAGUUUCCGUAGCUGACUGCCUGUUUGGAUAUCGGCGGCCUCUUCAAGAAGCGCCAGCGGUUCUCCAUCAUGUUCUAGUAAUCCAAGUUCUAUGCACGCUUUCUUGAAUGUAGGGCACAGUUCACCGUUAACUGUUUUGAGACUGUCAAAUGAAUCUGCACCAGCAACAACGGUCAGCAACAAUCUCAAAUAGUACAAUUCUCCGGCAUUGGGAGAAAAAAAUACAUUGUAGCAAUCGCAAAACCCCGUUGCCUGGUUUUCCACUUUUUUACUCCAUACAAAGUGUUGUGGUGUGGAAACUCUUAAUAGGUAUAUGCGAGUGCCGUUGGAUUUUCAGUAUAAUAUUCAAAAUAAGCCAUCAAGGUUGACUUAUAGUUCUCAGCCUUAUCUGUAACCCCUUGUAUUGUUCCUUCUGAUUCGUAGAUAAUUCUUUGUUUUCCU